Molecule: long non-coding RNA, 99 nt
Organism: Lontra canadensis (Northern American river otter)
Lineage: Eukaryota; Metazoa; Chordata; Mammalia; Carnivora; Mustelidae
Exons: 4
Source: RefSeq, a predicted model, not a curated record
GAACAAUUUUUCAUGUGUCUGACAGACAAUUUAGAUAUUAGACAGAAUAUAGAUGAAUAUGGAUGGCCAAACACUUAAGGAAAGCUAACUGGAAUGGGA